GAUGAACGCUGGCGGCGUGCCUAAUACAUGCAAGUCGAACGAAACUUCUUUAUCACCGAGUGCUUGCACUCACCGAUAAAGAGUUGAGUGGCGAACGGGUGAGUAACACGUGGGCAGCCUGCCCAAAAGAGGGGGAUAACACUUGGAAACAGGUGCUAAUACCGCAUAACCAUAGUUACCGCAUGGUAACUAUGUAAAAGGUGGCUAUACUACCGCUUUUGGAUGGGCCCGCGGCGCAUUAGCUAGUUGGUAGGGUAAAGGCUUACCAAGGCAAUGAUGCGUAGCCGAAUUGAGAGGUUGAUCGGCCACAUUGGGACUGAGACACGGCCCAAACUCCUACGGGAGGCAGCAGUAGGGAAUCUUCCACAAUGGGCGAAAGCCUGAUGGAGCAACGCCGCGUGGGUGAAGAAGGUCUUCGGAUCGUAAAACCCUGUUGUUAGAGAAGAAAGUGCGUGAGAGUAACUGUUCACGUUUCGACGGUAUCUAACCUGAAAGCCACUGCUAACUACGUG
Molecule: ribosomal RNA, 512 nt
Filed under: uncultured bacterium
Lineage: Bacteria
Description: partial 16S ribosomal RNA
Rfam family: Bacterial small subunit ribosomal RNA
Source: RNAcentral